AUCCAGCUGGUGAAUCCCAAAUAGAACGAAACAUGCGUUCUGGAU
This 45-nucleotide non-coding RNA is filed under the name Schistosoma margrebowiei. Lineage: Eukaryota; Metazoa; Platyhelminthes; Trematoda; Strigeidida; Schistosomatidae. The record is from RNAcentral.